GACGAACGCUGGCGGCGUGCUUAACACAUGCAAGUCGAACGGAAAGGCCCUGAUUUUGUGGGGUGCUCGAGUGGCGAACGGGUGAGUAAAACGCGAGUAACCUGCCCCUGACUGUGGGAUAACUCUAGGAAACUGGGGCGAAUACCGGGUAGAAGCUACUGCUCCGCGUGGGGGGUUAGAAAGAGUCGGCGGUUGGGGAUGGACUCGCGGCUUAUCCGCUUGUUGGGGGGGUAGUGGCUUACCAAGGCUUUGACGGGUAGCCGGCCUGAGAGGGUGACCGGCGACAUUGGUCCUGAGGUACGGCCCAGACUCCUACGGGAGGCAGCAGGGGGGAAUAUUGCGGAAUGGGCGGAAGCCUGAUGCAGCAGCGCCGCGUGCGGGAUGACGGGCUUUGGGGUGUAAACCGCUUUGGCCUGUGACGAGGCGUGAGUGACGGUAAUGGGUAAAGAAGCACCGGCUAACUACGUG
This 468-nucleotide ribosomal RNA is filed under the name uncultured bacterium. Its description in RNAcentral is "partial 16S ribosomal RNA". It matches the Rfam family "Bacterial small subunit ribosomal RNA", at positions 28 to 507 of the family's 1533-position model. The record is from RNAcentral.